Non-coding RNA from Podarcis lilfordi (Lilford's wall lizard), 1851 nucleotides. NCBI's taxonomy places the organism in Eukaryota, Metazoa, Chordata, Lepidosauria, Squamata, Lacertidae. The record is from the annotation of a GenBank genome assembly.
CCCAGGAACCCGGAGUGGGACUUGAACCCAGAGCCCUGUCAUGGGACUUGGAGCCAGAGCCCUUCAUGUGAUUUGAACCUGGAGCCUGGAACCCUGUCAUGUGAUUCGAACCCGGAGCCCGGAACCCUGUCAUGUGAUUCGAACCCAGGAGUGGGAUUCGGAGCCCAGGAGCCCGUCAUGUGUCUUGAACCCGGGUCGCCGGGUCGAUUCGAACCCGGAGCCAGGAAGAACAUCAUGUGAUUCGAACCCGGGAGCCUGGAGUGGGAUUCGGACCCAGAGUCCGGGAGCCUGGAAUAGGACUUGAACCCAGGACCAGGGAGCCCAUCAUGUGAUUUGAACCCGGGACACAGGACACAGGAGCCUGUCAUGGGACUUGAACCCAGGACCAGGGAGCUCAUCAUGUGAUUUGAACCCGGGACAUGGGACACAGGAGCCUGUCAUGGGACUUGAACCCAGGACCAGGGAGCCCAUCAUGUGAUUUGAACCCGGGACACGGGACACAGGAGCCCGUCAUGUGAUUCGAACCCGGGACAUGGGACACAGGAGCCUGUCAUGGGACUUGAACCCGCGAUCCGGCAGCCCGUCACGUGACUCGAACCCGCAAACCGUCCGAUGUCAUGUGACUCGAACCCGGGACCAGGGACCUACAAGCCCGUCACGUGACUCGAACCCGCAACCCGCCCGAUGUCACGUGACUCGAACCCACAAAUGUCUGCAGAUCCUCUACCAAUCCUGUCCCAAGUCCAAGUUCCUUUCCUGCCCCUCCUGCCAACGGGAAACCGUCCUCUUCCCCGACUACCGAUUGGCCGCCCUGGCCGUCAACACCCGCCUCCUGGCCCGCCUCCCCCCGGCCAAGCCGGCCAAUCGCAACCCGCCCCCCUGGGGCGCCGGCCAAUCGGAGAGAGGCUGCUCCCAGAGCUUCCGGCAGUAUUGCGGGGCGGCGUGUAAUUGCCGGGUGAGGAAGCCGGUGGGGGCCUGCGUCGUCAUGUGACGCGGAGUCGAACCCGGAGCCGGGACCCCGUCAUGUGAUUCUGUCCCAGGAGCCUGUCUUGAACCCAGGACCAGGGAGCCCAAUGUGUGAUUCGAACCCAGGACACGGGAGCCAGGAGUGGGAUUCGGACCCAGAGUCCGGGAGCCUGGAAUGGGACUUGAACCCGGAGCCCGGGAGGCCGUCAUGUGACCCUGUCCUGGGACUUGAAACCAAGGACCUUUGAUUUGAACCCGAGACCCAGGAACCCGGAGUGGGAUUCGGAGCCUGGAAUGGGAUUUGAACCCAGAGCCCAGUAGCCCGUCAUGUGAGUUGAAACCGGAGCCCUGUCAUGUGACUCGAACCCGGAGCCGGGAGGACGGAGUGGGAGUCGAACCCGGAGCCGGGAGGACGGAGUGGGAGUCGAACCCGGAGCCGGGAGGACGGAGUGGCCCGGGACCCCGUCAUGUGACUUGAACCCAGAGCCCUGUCAUGGGACUUGAACCCAGGACCAGGGAGCCCAUCGUGUGAUUCGAACACGGGACACAGGAGCCUGUCAUGUGAUUCGAACCCAGGACACGGGACACAGGAGCCUGUCAUGGGACUUGAACCCAGGCCCUGGGAGCCGGUCCUUUGAUUUGAACCCGAGACCCAGGAGCCAGGAGUGGGAUUUGGAGCCAGAGCCCAGAAGCCCGUCAUGUGAUUUGAACCCGGAGCCUGCAACCCUGUCAUGUGAUUCGAACCCAGGACACGGGAGCCAGGAGUGGGAUUCGGAGCCCGUCAUGUGUCUUGAACCCGCAACCCGUCCGAUGUCGUGCGCCGUCACGCGACUCGAACCCGGGACCCGGGACCUACCAGCCCGUCACGUGACUCGAACCCGCAAC